CCUUUGUACACACCGCCCGUCGCUCCUACCGAUUGAAUGGCUCAGUGAGGCCUCCGGACUGGCUCGGAGAGGUUGGCAACGACCACUCCGAGCCGGAAAGCUCGUCAAACUCGGUCAUUUAGAGG
Molecule: ribosomal RNA, 125 nt
Filed under: Stagonosporopsis cucurbitacearum
Lineage: Eukaryota; Fungi; Ascomycota; Dothideomycetes; Pleosporales; Didymellaceae
Description: partial small subunit ribosomal RNA
Rfam family: Eukaryotic small subunit ribosomal RNA
Source: RNAcentral